AACUCGUUUGAAAAGAACGCUCGUCAAACAGGGGUUUGGCCACAACAUUUACAACAAACAUGUCCUAAUUCAGUAAGGAACCCAUCUCCUCCGGCAGCUGUCCAGGCAGAAUUCUGACACAUUUGCGGCGCGUCUUCAUGUUCCGAGGGCAAAGCGACACACGGCCACUCAGACACGCAGAAAGAGAAGUUUUCAAGGUCUCAUUCACAUAUGGAUCUCGAAAAACUAUGUGUCUCAUGGUGAAAGAUUGGGGAUGAAAUAAAAAAGAAGAAUGAAACUAAUGUGGAGUCACACAAGAGAGUAGCAGAAAGGAGUCACCAUUCUUUAGGCAUUUCAAGUUUUGGCUUUAAACAGGCAAAGGUAUAGAUAAGGACAAAUCUGUGGAGAUUAGGUUGAAGAAUAUAGAGGUAUGAGUAAUCCCUAAAAAUGAAACUUCUUUGUCACGAGAGACACACGGUCUACAUGCAAGUUAUGUUGCUGCAACGUAUCACUUGCCAGCAGGAAUUCUGGCUUUUCCUGCCGACUCGGUUAAAAGGAUGAAAGUUAAAUAAUCCAGGUAAAAGAUCAUUGUCAAUUUUGUUAUUUUUGGGUGACGUCAUUGUGGCAGAGAGUUGCACUUUAGAUUCACCUUUAAUGUGCAUUUAAGAUUUGCCUCCCUUUAUUUUCUCUGGCGUGCCAAAGUAGAGUUUCAACCUUCAUAGACUUUCCCUUUUUUCCCUGAUAUUUUUAUAACAUUGUAUGGACAUCUAUUGUCAUCUAUCAUUCACUUAGUCUUCAUUAUUUUA
Molecule: long non-coding RNA, 785 nt
Organism: Olea europaea var. sylvestris
Lineage: Eukaryota; Viridiplantae; Streptophyta; Magnoliopsida; Lamiales; Oleaceae
Exons: 3
Source: RefSeq, a predicted model, not a curated record